This 406-nucleotide ribosomal RNA is filed under the name uncultured bacterium. Its description in RNAcentral is "partial 16S ribosomal RNA". It matches the Rfam family "Bacterial small subunit ribosomal RNA", at positions 29 to 526 of the family's 1533-position model. The record is from RNAcentral.
AUUGAACGCUGGCGGCAGGCCUAACACAUGCAAGUCGAACGAGUGGCGGACGGGUGAGUAAUGCCUGGGAAACUGCCUGAUGGAGGGGGAUAAUUACUGGAAACGGUAGCCAAUACCGCAUACCAUCGGCUGUGCCCAGAUGGGAUUAGCUAGUCGGUGGGGUGAAGGCUCACUUGGGCGACGAUCCCUAGCUGGUGUGAGAGGAUGUCCAGCCACACUGGAACUGGGAGACGGUCCAGACUCCUAAGGGAGGCAGCAGUGGGGAAUAUUGGACAAAGGGCGCAAGGCUGAUGAAGCGAGGCCGCGUGUGGGAAGGAGGCCUGCGGGUUGUACAGAACUGUCAGGGGGGAGGGGUGACCCGCAGAAGAAGAAACGGCUAGCUCCGUGCAAGCAGCCGCGGUAAUUC